UCUGAAGCCCACUACCCAUCCGUUCAGUUUGAGGAAGGCUGGUUUAAUGAAUAUAGUUGAUAUUCAUCUAUUCAGCCAGGCAGCUACAAAGUGUUUUGCCUUUCACGAUAGCAGGACAGCUGGCAGUUACCGGCUUGGACAUUGAAGAGGUGCGGGGCAGAAGGACUUUUCUCAGAAGUUCUUUCUAAACACGUGCCAAUUAUCUGGUUGUCCCAGAAUUACCCGAUAACCCCACCCGUAGCACUGAUCAUUGGCCAAGGGUGGGCUUGUGCACUGGAAGGUACGGUUACACAUUAUAUCACCAUGGUGACAGCCAGCGGACUCAGCUACCAUGGAAAGUAUACACGCUGGUCACAGCGUUUCAUAAGAAGCACACCAAUUAGUGAGGAAAAAAAAUCACACAGGUUGUGUAACUAUUAUGAAAUAUAGGUCUUUUUCAUGAAAAUAUAACUUUAGUGCCAUGUAUACAGCUACUGUUUCAACUUUGCUUUACAUUUUUGUUCUGUAUUGCAUAGAAAAGAAAAGACUUUUGACAUUUUAUCCAUCUUUGUAUCUCUACAAAUCUCGUCUUUUUUGUCCCUGCUGUCCUCCGUAAAACAGCGUUUCUUGACAUUCUGCACAGCAAUGAAAGCCCUGCUGUAGAUUGUUUUAGACAUUUCAUGGAGGACAGAGGAAGGGCACAAACUUGACCUGAAUAAGAGUCACUGCGGUCAUUAUCUCUGCACGUGGAGCGUGGGGAGACACAGUGGUACCUGGCAUGUGACACAGUUUGAAGUACUGAUUUUGUCCAAGCAUUGCGCUGGUCUGGUAUCUCAAGUUCUUCUUGGGGCAGGUGCCACACUCUGCAAUUCAGUGUCAAUAUCUCAGCAUGGAAAUGGAAGGCUCUUCAAGGACUUGUGAGGCGGAUAGUUCAGGACCAGGAAGUAAAAAACCCAGACCAAGACUUUGUUUCAACCAACUGGUUGAGCCACAACUAAGUCACAGUCACUCAACUGGUUGGUUGAAACAAAAUCUUGGUCUGGAUUUCUGUUUUCUGGGCCUGAUCUAUCCAGUUCUGCUGAUUACCUCCACUAUUUCCCUUUGCUCAUAAAGCCUUGAUUCAAACAGAAGGUUGUCUUGAUUCCAUACAUGAACAGGUUCCACAGAUAUAAUAAAAAAUGAACCUCAUUAACAUCCAAGGCUUAUAAUUAUGUAACAACACAAAUGUGUUUGCAUAAACGCCCAACCUCAACGAACAGAUGUGUGUUGGUAUCAUUUAUCUGUCACCAAAUUAAAUGUAUAUUUUUAUGCAAGUGUUGCUGUGCAUUUUCUUGAGCUCAGUGGUUAUGGUUAGGUGGCCGACUCUGAUGGCAAAUUAAUCAUCUCUCACUGCAA
Molecule: long non-coding RNA, 1374 nt
Organism: Paramormyrops kingsleyae
Lineage: Eukaryota; Metazoa; Chordata; Actinopteri; Osteoglossiformes; Mormyridae
Source: RefSeq, a predicted model, not a curated record